RNA transcript from Arachis stenosperma, 4132 nucleotides. RefSeq lists it as uncharacterized. The record is from RefSeq and is a predicted model, not a curated record. The transcript has 5 exons. NCBI's taxonomy places the organism in Eukaryota, Viridiplantae, Streptophyta, Magnoliopsida, Fabales, Fabaceae.
UCCACACACAUUAUUAUUCCCUUCCCUUCUCUCCCUCUUUUUUUCCGUUUCUCUGUGAGACAUCCUUCCUCCCCUCUUUCUCCCUAAUCGCAAUCCCUCUUCUUUCUUUCUCUAUCCACUGCACACGGCGGCGCAACACCCGUCCUCUCCUUCCCAUCUAUAUUCUCCGCCCCUCGUUCUCCCAACCAACACCGCCUCCUCCCUCUUCCUAACACCAUCCAUAACCACAUCUAUAUUUCUCUCUCUUCCAUCCAUUUUUGUUUUAAAUUUUUAAUUAUUAUUCUUAUUUUCCUUUUUCUAUUUUCUUCACGUCACUUUCUUAUCCUCUAAUUUCUUCGUUCUUUAAUUAUUUUCCUUAGUGACUUCUUUCGUUGUGGACCCCGCUUUUCCAUUAUAUUUUCAUUUUCGGUUCGAACAACGAAAGAAUGUAGGGGAAUUUAUCGGUUUUACUUCUUUGCCCCUCUCUAAACCCCACGAAGAAGAGAACGUCGCGUCCAAGAGUAUUUUAGUUGUGUUGUUUUUACGUGGCAUAAUCUAAGGCCAUGAUGAUGAGUCAUUACCAUCACCGCAGGAUGCUGCCACCUGGCAACACCAGAAAGCGCAAGCUCGCAGACGAAGCUGACAAGCCGAUUGAGCCGAAAAACACUAAUCGGCUCCUAGCUGGAUACCUGGCUCACGAGUUCUUAACCAGAGGGACCUUGUUUGGGCAGAAGUACGAGCCUGAAUCGGGUGAGAUCUCGGCUGUUGUGGACCCGAAGAAGAGCCAGCCGAAGCAGUUGGUGCAAGCCGCGGAGCCGAGCCGAGACCUGGUGAGGAAGAAGGUGCAGAAGGAGCAGGAUAGUUACGGUGAGGUUGCGAGCAUAAUGAAGACGGAUGGGAUCCACAUAAAGGGAAUCGUGAACCCCACGCAGCUCUCACGAUGGAUCCACAUGUGAGAUUCUUCAUUCUUGGGUUCGCGCGUCGGCUUCGUGGUGACGUAGCGGAUUUUGAUUGGAUGGUUGUGUAUGGAGAAAGAAACGUCUUGGUUUUUAAGGUAUCGUCACUCGCGGCGAGCGCGUGAGUCAUUUGCGGUUAACUGCUGCUGCAUAGUGCACAAGAGUGUGGUAUCAAGUGUGAAGAAUUUGGACGGUGUAACAGGAAGAAACACGAUCGGACAGUCCAAUUUGCUCGGACAACACAGACAGUCUGAGUUGUGCGUUAACAGUCACAUAUCGCACAGGAUAAGCUCGCCAGAACGGUACCUCUGAAACCAACAGUUCACGAAUGUUGACAUAUAUAUGACCACCCACUGCCUUCGAAUCGGUACCAUUUACAGUUUAUCGGUUUUUAUCAUCCUUCUCAGAUUAAAAUAGUUCAAUGUUAGAAAGCACUGGUAAAUGCUUUAAUCGAAAGGUGACACCCAGACACACACACCUUUCACCUUCCGAUUGGUGAGUGUGCAGUGACAUUGGAGGAUGUAGCCGUUAUUCUUGGUCUCCCGACGAAUGGUCUUCCAGUGACAGGAAUCACGUUGAGCAGUUUCGAAGCCUUAGAGGGUGAGUAUUUUCACCAGUUUGGGGUUGCACCGACCAAGUCCGACUGUAGAGGAAGCUGCAUAAAAUUGACGUGGCUUUGGGAUUUAAAAGAACGUUUACAGUUGAUUGACGAAAAUAGUAUUCAGAGGUACGUGAAGUGACACAUUAUAUUGUAAUUGGGUACGAUCUUGCUUGGAGACAAGUCUGGGGCAUCUGUGCACUGGAAGUUUCUGCCUUUGCUCCGUGAUUUUGGUAGUAUCGGACAGUAUAGUUGGGGAUCGGCAUGUCUAGUGCACCUGUACAGGUCGUUAUGCAGGGCAUCUUGUUUUAACUUUAAGAAAAUCGAUGGUCCACUAACACUUCUGCUAGCUUGGGCUUGGAUCCGGCUACCAUAUCUUGUGCCGGUUCCUAGGAAACUCCGCAGUUUUUUGCUAGCAAACAGGUGGCAUAACUGGGAGCGUGGCGACCGACGCUAUAGAUAUCUUAGUCUCGCUCACUUUAGAAAGUCAUUAGAUGAGCUUCAGGAAGGCCAGUUUGUGUGGGUUGCUUAUGGUGUUGACCGCAUUGAUCCAGACAUAAUCCCAAAAGACAUCAACAUGCACUCAGUUGUGUGUAGCGCUACGGUCCCGUUAAUAUCAUUUGAAUGCAUUAAGUGGCAUGUAACCGAUAGGUUUAGGCGACAGUUUGGUUUUAUUCAUGGAAUUCCUCAUCAGGUACGGAUCUAGACAAGGCACACGGAAAAACACUGACUGGUCCUAAGAAUCUUGACUGGGCCACAGUCACGUCCCAUUUAUUUUGGGUGAUGCAGUGGACAAGCAGGUAUAAUCACAUUCUUACUGAACUUUCGGUGCCUCCACAACAUCCCUUGGAUAUUUACAUGCAUUGGUACCGUACAAAUCGAGGCCCGUUGUACACAGGCCAUGUAGUAGGAUUCUCCAGUGGCCUAAACCUAGCUCGGUAAACCCUCCGAACUUGGUCCAUCUUGUAAAUAUCGUGAACAUACACUCGCCAAUCCAGUCGCUUAUUUGCACAACAUGCAAACACAUGUCGACAAGGAAUCCGAUCCACCUGGAACUUACCACAGUCACACCGUUGUCGACGAAGGUCGACGGCAUACUCCGUUCCACUUAGCAUCUCACGCACUUCAAAGACCUCAUUCAUCCUGUCGAAGCAAUUAACCUGGAUAUUUCCUGAUGUAAGUUGAUUUGCAUGCAAUUUCGAGGUCACAACCUCAGAAAAACAUGUCCAGAUGUUAUCUGCGACUCUGCCUUGGCUCUUUUUCUAGUGAACAACUCAUUAAGCCUGUAGAAUGUUGCUUUGACAAGUGUGGUGAUAGGGAGAUUGCGUGCAUCCUUCAAGACUGAGUUGAUGCAUUCCACUAGGUUUGUGGUCAUGUGACCCCAUCGGUAGCCACCAUCGAAUGCCAAUGCAUAAUGUUCGCGGGAGAUUCGGUUUAACCAGUUAGUGUAAGCUUUGUCCCGCUCUCGUAAAUGCUAGUAGCGUAGUUCGUACUCGCGAACCGUCCUCGAAUAUCCUGCACAAUAAGCAAAAACAAACAAGAAAAGAAUAUAUGAGAAACACUGCUUGAAGGUAACUCUGUCGAAUUUCAAAUUACUAAAUUUUACCUAUGUUGACGACAAGUUUUUGCAGGUACGGUGCCUUGAACUUUCUCAAAAAAUUCGACUCUAUAUGCCGAUGCAAAACAUGUGGAAAGCUCUCGGAGGCGACCAAGCUCCGUUACUCCGGGCCACAGCUGAAUUGAUGGAUUCGUGUCGGUCGGAAAUCAGUCCCACAGCAUCCCGAGUCACAACAUGUUGUUGCAGGUUACUAAGAAAAAAAGUGCCAUGCAUCAGAAGUCUCUCCCUCCACAAUAGCAAACGCAAUCGGGACGAUAUUAUUGUUACCAUUCUGUGACACUGCAACCAACAGACAACCCUUAUACUUUUCGUAUAAGUGAGUCCCAUCAACCUGGACAACUGGUUUACAAUAUCUGAACGCUCUAAUGCAGGGGUAAUAACUCCAGAAGACUCGAUGCAAUACCUGGAUAUCAGUUACCAAGUCAUUGCCUUGAUAUGCAGGCAUAGUCUCAAAAUGGACGACUGCUGAUGGCUCCUUGUAACACAUGGCCUCACACCAUAUGGGCAAAGCUUCAUAUGAUGCUUUCGUACCUCCAAAUAUUUUUUUUUCACUGAUUUUUGCUUAGUCAACCAUGCUUUCCGAUAGCUGAUGGAGUAAUUGAACUUCGACUGCAUUUUCGCAAUAACUGAUUUCACCUUUAUCAAAGGGUUAGCCUCAACCAACGGCUUUAUUGCUUUUGCAAUUGUGUUCGAAUCCAGCUUCGAAUGAUCCUGAGAAAUGGUGGCUCUAGUAUAAGUGUGACUACUGUUGUACCUCCUUAUAACCCAAGAGUACUUUCUGCUGAUCAUGCUAACCCUGAUAAGCCAAUCACACCCUGAUCCAUACUGUGUACACUUGGCAUAAAAUGUCAAAGGCUCCGACUCAUACACCUGGUAGUCUACGCCUCUUCGAAUGAUAUAAUAUUUCAUCGCCAUAAUAAAUGCUUUCCUGAAACUGAAUUCUAUUCUGACUGCAAAUUUACCAUCUGCGACCAUAGGAAU